This 253-nucleotide ribosomal RNA is filed under the name uncultured bacterium. RNAcentral's name for it is "partial 16S ribosomal RNA". It matches the Rfam family "Bacterial small subunit ribosomal RNA", at positions 524 to 776 of the family's 1533-position model. The record is from RNAcentral.
UACGGAGGGGGCAAGCGUUGUUCGGAAUUACUGGGCGUAAAGGACUCGUAGGCGGCCAACUAAGUCAUACGUGAAAUCCCUCGGCUUAACCGGGGAACUGCGUCUGAUACUGGAUGGCUUGAGUUCGGGAGAGGGAUGCGGAAUUCCAGGUGUAGCGGUGAAAUGCGUAGAUAUCUGGAGGAACACCGGUGGCGAAGGCGGCAUCCUGGACCGAUACUGACGCUGAGGAGCGAAAGCCAGGGGAGCAAACGGG